AAAUGCGCUACGGGGAACAAUAAAAACAGCGCGGGGGUAGCGUUGCCGGCACGCUUUCGGCGUGCCGGCAGCGGUUGUCUGCAUGCACGACGGGGCCAACAUCACAACAAGCCACCAUGCAGGCACGUACGCCCAUUCGAUGGGCGUUCCGCCGUCCGGCCGGGGCAAGCAGACGCGGGCGGCGGCGGACGCAUUUUUCAU
Molecule: small RNA, 201 nt
Organism: Burkholderia pseudomallei
Lineage: Bacteria; Pseudomonadati; Pseudomonadota; Betaproteobacteria; Burkholderiales; Burkholderiaceae
Rfam family: Burkholderia sRNA 1
About the family: Trans-encoded, exhibits differential expression profiles dependent on growth phase and cell stimuli, such as antbiotics and serum.
Source: Rfam